GAUCCUGGCUCAGGAUGAACGCUAGCGGCAGGCUUAAUACAUGCAAGUCGUGGGGCAGCGCAGUGUAGCAAUACAUGGGCGGCGACCGGCAAACGGGUGCGGAACACGUACACAACCUUCCUACAAGUGGGGAAUAGCCCAGAGAAAUUUGGAUUAAUACCCCGUAACAUAUAAAGAUGGCAUCAUUUUUAUAUUAUAGCUACGGCGCUUGUUGAUGGGUGUGCGGCUGAUUAGGUAGUUGGG
RNAcentral lists this ribosomal RNA (243 nucleotides) under uncultured bacterium. Its description in RNAcentral is "partial 16S ribosomal RNA". It matches the Rfam family "Bacterial small subunit ribosomal RNA", at positions 15 to 253 of the family's 1533-position model. The record is from RNAcentral.